UCAAAUUUAAAAUCUGGCGGUCUUUNGNCNGUCCGAGUUGUAGUCUGGAGAAGUGCUUUCCGCGCUGGACCGUGUACAAGUCUCUUGGAACAGAGCGUCAUAGAGGGUGAGAAUCCCGUCUUUGACACGGACUACCAGUGCUUUGUGAUGCGCUCUCAAAGAGUCGAGUUGUUUGGGAAUGCAGCUCAAAAUGGGUGGUAAAUUCCAUCUAAAGCUAAAUAUUGGCGAGAGACCGAUAGCGAACAAGUACCGUGAGGGAAAGAUGAAAAGCACUUUGGAAAGAGAGUUAAACAGUACGUGAAAUUGCUGAAAGGGAAACGCUUGAAGUCAGUCGCGUCGUGCAGGACUCAGCCUUGCUUUUGCUUGGUGCACUUUCUGUACGACGGGCCAGCAUCAAUUUUGACCGUCGGAAAAGGGCUGAGGGAAUGUGGCACCUUCGGGUGUGUUAUAGCCUUCAGUCGCAUACGGCGGUUGGGAUUGAGGAUCGCAGCGCGCCGCAAGGCAGGGGUUCGCCCACUUUCGCGCUUAGGAUGCUGGCAUAAUGGCUUUAAACGACCCGUCUUGAAACACGGACCAAGGAGUCUAACUUACCUGCGAGUGUUUGGGUGGAAAACCCGAGCGCGUAAUGAAAGUGAAAGUUGGGACCUCUGUCGUGGAGGGCACCGACGCCCGGACCUGACGUUCUCUGACGGAUCCGCGGUAGAGCAUGUAGGUUGGGACCCGAAAGAUGGUGAACUAUGCCUGAAUAGGGUGAAGCCAGAGGAAACUCUGGNGGNAGNNUCGUAGCGAUUCUGACGUGCAAAUCGAUCGUCAAAUUUGGGUAUAGGGGCGAAAG
Molecule: ribosomal RNA, 835 nt
Filed under: Porogramme brasiliensis
Lineage: Eukaryota; Fungi; Basidiomycota; Agaricomycetes; Polyporales; Polyporaceae
Description: LSU rRNA
Rfam family: Eukaryotic large subunit ribosomal RNA
Source: RNAcentral